UUUUUAAAAAAAAUAUAGAUUAUUAGAAUAUUAAAAUAAUUAGGCUAAAUUAGAGAAAACUUUUCUUUUUAUAAAUAUAUAUUUUAAUUUUUAAAAAUCUAUAUUUUGUCCUCUUAAAAUUUUAUAAAUAUUUUUAGAAGAGUAUAACAUUAAUGGAGAGAACAAAAUAUCAAAAUUACCUUUAUUUUUUAUAAAAAAAUAUUUUUUAAAUAUAUUUUUGUCAUUUUGAAGGGUAUUCUCGGUGUAAAUUAUAAAAAUGAGCAGAAUAGUGAUGGAAGCGUGACGGAGGGGGCUAAAUGCAAUAACUUAAAAUAUUAAGAGUAAAAUAUAAAUUUUUAGAAGUUAGAGAGAAAAAUAAAAAAAUAAAUAUUUAUAAGAAUUUUUCUGUAAUUUAACCAAAAUAAUUAUGAGAGAAGUUAAGAAAUGAGAGUUUAUAUAUUAUUUUUUUAUUUUUUGAGCAAUACAUUCAAUAAAAAAUAGGGUAAACUUCAAAUAUCACCCCUGUGGUUUUGCACUUUUUCACUUUAGUAUCCUGUGAUUUAAAGUGUAUCAAGUUAGUAUUCUGUGAUUUCAUUUUUAUCUUUUCGUCAGCUUUUUCGUUAAUAUUUUGUUAAAUUAUAUACAAAACUUUAGAUACACCAUCUAGAUUUAUCGAAUAUUCACUUUAGUACCCUUUAGUUUUAAUUUUGUCACUGAUUUAAUGAAAAAAAUUAGUGGAAUCGAUGAUAAAAAAAUAAAAAUAAAACCGCAUGGUACUAAAUUGAUAUACUUUAAAGCACAUGAUACUAAAUAAGAAAAGUGUGAAAUUAUAGGGAUGGUAUUUGAAGUUUUUUUCUAAAAAAUAUACAUUAAGCACUAAAAAGUUAAGAAAAACUAAAUUUUAGGAUGAAUAACUAACUUUUAUUUUUAGAUAUAAUGUAUGGUUUGUUUCCGUAACAUUCUAAUAUCUCAUUUAGGUUCUGAUAAAUUAUAGAGUGAUAGUUAAUUUCAUAAA
RNAcentral lists this long non-coding RNA (994 nucleotides) under Ananas comosus (pineapple). Its description in RNAcentral is "long non-coding RNA (ACOM_LNC007713)". The record is from RNAcentral. Lineage: Eukaryota; Viridiplantae; Streptophyta; Magnoliopsida; Poales; Bromeliaceae.